This is a non-coding RNA of Schistosoma curassoni, 45 nucleotides long. NCBI's taxonomy places the organism in Eukaryota, Metazoa, Platyhelminthes, Trematoda, Strigeidida, Schistosomatidae. The record is from Rfam.
AUCCAGCUGACAAGUCACAAAUAGGAUGAAACGCGUGUCCUAGAU